RNAcentral lists this ribosomal RNA (207 nucleotides) under uncultured bacterium. Its description in RNAcentral is "partial 16S ribosomal RNA". It matches the Rfam family "Bacterial small subunit ribosomal RNA", at positions 568 to 774 of the family's 1533-position model. The record is from RNAcentral.
CGCGUAGGCGGGGUCGUGGGUCGGCCGUGAAAUCCACCGGCUCAACCGGUGAACUGCGGUCGAAACUACGACUCUUGGGCUCGGUAGAGGAAGGCGGAAUUCCUGGUGUAGCGGUGGAAUGCGUAGAUAUCAGGAAGAACACCGGUAGCGAAGGCGGCCUUCUGGGCCGUAGCUGACGCUGAGGCGCGAAAGCCGGGGGAGCGAACA